GUGCUCACUUUGGCAGCACAUAUAUUAAAAUUAGAACAAUAGAAGAGUAGCAUGACCCCCAAGCAAGGAUGACACACAAAUUCUUGAAGCAUUUCAUAUUUUG
Small nuclear RNA from Phyllostomus discolor (pale spear-nosed bat), 103 nucleotides. The record is from RefSeq and is a predicted model, not a curated record. Lineage: Eukaryota; Metazoa; Chordata; Mammalia; Chiroptera; Phyllostomidae.